GUCCGUCUUCCGUCUCAUAGGGAAGUGUUAGAGAUGGAUAAUGUUUCUGUGUAGCAGAAGUAGUCAUUAUGUCCCCUUAAAUUCGGUCACUUUGACUGCAGUAGAGCUUCUUAGUGAGCAGUCUGUGAUGGAGUAUACUUUCGGAGAAGCUCAUGGUGGGGGAAAUCUGGAAUUUAUCUAAAUAUUUCAUUUCUUUGAUAAAUUACAUUAAAAAAUUAAUGA
RNAcentral lists this long non-coding RNA (222 nucleotides) under Homo sapiens (human). Its description in RNAcentral is "non-protein coding lnc-PPIAL4C-8:1". The record is from RNAcentral. Lineage: Eukaryota; Metazoa; Chordata; Mammalia; Primates; Hominidae.